Molecule: ribosomal RNA, 531 nt
Filed under: Triticum aestivum (bread wheat)
Lineage: Eukaryota; Viridiplantae; Streptophyta; Magnoliopsida; Poales; Poaceae
Description: partial small subunit ribosomal RNA
Source: RNAcentral
AUGUUCGUUUGUGAUGAUUUAUCAAGGCUGGUAUGGAACUUCUGGUGGGGAUCCAAACAGGGACAACGCAAGGUACAUUGGUUGUUAUGGGAUAAGAUCAUGGAGCCUAAGUGCAGAGGUGGCUUGGGGUUCUGGGAUUUUUGUCUAUUUAAUCAAGCCUUGUUAGCAAGGCAAGCGUGGCGUCUCAUUACACGGCCGGAUUCACUGUGUGCCCAGGUUCUCAAAGCAAGGUACUGCCCUAAUGGCAAUUUUGAAGAUAUUGUGUUUUCAGGUAAUGCCUCGCCGAAUUGGCACGCUAUCCACUAUAACCUCGAACUUCUCAACAAGGGCUUGAUUUGGAGGGUAGGAAAUGGGGAACACAUUCGCAUUUGGUGGGACCCUUGGCUACCCCACCCUUUCUCCUUCAAGCCGGUGUCACCGAGAGGUACAUGCUGCUUGAGAUGCGUGGCGAGCUACUGGAUGAUGCCGGGAGGUGGAAUGGAGAUCCCCUACGACGCCACUUCCUUCCCAUGGAUGUUGCGGUUAUCAUGA